UACGUAGGUGGCAAGCGUUUUCCGGAUUUACUGGGUGUAAAGGGCGUGUAGGCGGGAAAUUAAGUCAGGUGUGAAAGUCCAUGGCUCAACUGUGGGAGUGCAUCUGAAACUGAUUUUCUUGAGUACUGGUGAGGGAAGCGGAAUUCCAAGUGUAGCGGUGAAAUGCGUAGAGAUGUGGUGGAACACCAGUGGCGAAGGCGGCUUUCUGGACAGGAACUGACGCUGAGGCGCGAAAGCGUGGGGAGCAAACAGG
This 253-nucleotide ribosomal RNA is filed under the name uncultured bacterium. RNAcentral describes it as "partial 16S ribosomal RNA". It matches the Rfam family "Bacterial small subunit ribosomal RNA", at positions 524 to 776 of the family's 1533-position model. The record is from RNAcentral.